Long non-coding RNA from Meriones unguiculatus (Mongolian gerbil), 2515 nucleotides. RefSeq lists it as uncharacterized. The record is from RefSeq and is a predicted model, not a curated record. NCBI's taxonomy places the organism in Eukaryota, Metazoa, Chordata, Mammalia, Rodentia, Muridae. The transcript is spliced from 4 exons.
UGAGUGGUGUGGGUGAACGCCUGAGCGGGCAACAUUCCCCCACCCCUACCCCAGACAGCUGCAAACAUCCUGGGCCACCGAAUUGGAGGCUGUGGCUUUCUUGAAGACAGAGGUGGUCGGUGCUGGAAGAAAGCGCACAGAAUUUGACCCAGCAAGACCUUUGAGAAAAUGUUGCAUUGGACCUGAGAGGUGAAGUUCACCACCAAAUGGGAGCUGAGCGGUUCUUCCCAGGUCCUGGGACAGAGGGCUCGGUGCUGCCCAGAUCAAGGAGCAAAUGCACUUAAAACCAUCGCCUGGAACAUUGCCUUUACUAAAGAGAGGACCGCUCUGCCAUCAGUGUAAUUGUUUCAACACCGUCUCCACGCAGGCAGACUUGUGUCUUGCUGGUUGGAACCUUUAUAUAUCCCAGGCAGGCCUUAACCAUGAGGCCACUGAAGAGCUGAUUUCACAUCUGUACCAGGAACUUACCACAGUUUGCUAAUUUUUGAAGUAUUUAAAAAUUUAUAUUUAUAUCCCAAGGGUGUCCCUCCCUUGACUGAAAAAUUUUAUGUAUUUAUUUUUCUUCACAUAUUCUGAAUAUCAACCCCUUGACCAAUAGGUAGCUGGCAAGAGUUUUCUCCCAUUUUGACGCUUUGUCUCCUCACUCUGGUAACUGUUUCUGUUGCUAAGCAUACACAUUUUAAUUUCAUGCAAUCCCAUUUCCUAUUUUUUUAUUAUUAUUUCCUGGGUGAUGGGAAUCCUAUUCAGAAAGUCCUAGUGAUAUGCCUUUUUCCAUGUUGAAAUAUUGUAUGGUGAUGAAUAACGUGCUAUUAUGAGAAUCAUCAGAGCAACAGCAAAGAUGAAAACCUAACUAACUGAAGACAAGAAGCACUUACUGGGCUGCAGUGACCGGCCUCCGUGACUAUAUGCUCCUUCCGAAGCGUGUACUGGAUAUUAGGGGACUCAAAGGAGAACGAUAUCCUAGUCACUUAGUUUUACUUCUUAGUUUUAGAAUUAGUUUUACUUUUUUUGUAUGUGUGAGUGAGUGUUUGAGUACACGUAUGGGUACUGUGUGUGUGCCUGGUGACCACAGAGGCCUGGAUCCCGCUGAACCCAGUUAGAGAUGGUUGUGAGCUGCUGAGCAUGGGUACUGGGAACUGAAUCAAGGUUCUCUGCAGGAGCUGCCAGUGCUCUUAAGUGUUGAGCCAUCUCCAGCCUUCGAGAAUGCUGGUUUCAUGAAGGAAGGCAUGAGAGGUUGCGGGCAUUGCUAGGCUAAUACCUUGGUCACGUGUUGAGAGCUGACAGGAUGAGUGUGCUGGAUGGACUGGACCGUUAGGUGCCUGUCCCUCCCUCCAGGAGGGAGUGAAGCAGGAGGGUUAUUUGGGCAGUUCUCAGACACUCCAAGGACUGAGCAGGUACAUCUCUCUUUCUAGACAGGACAUGGGGGAAAUAGGAUAUGGUUGGAAACCUCCACAUUUGAAGACCACUGGAGUACAUUCAAAACAUCUUAGCUCGGGGUGUUUCCUUAACACUUACAAGGAUCGUGCUGGGUUUUAACCCCAGCAGUAGGGAAAACAAUGCUAGAGGCAGACGGCGGCUCUGUGUAGCCUUCACCCUGUAAAGCUGAACAGAAACACAGAAGGCAUUUCUACAACUACACAAAUGACUUGUCCUUGUGUGCUCACUCCUAUCUCAGGGUGAUCCGGAAUCCACUGGAGGGUGUCAAAGCAUCCUGUUCCUGAUGGAAACACUGGCGAGAAUGCCCAGGAACCGUUUCCAUCCUCUUACCCCAGAAAUGCAGCUCUGUAGCCAUGGGACAAGGUUAAAGACUUUCUUAAAGUGUUUUCUUUCUUUCAGUAGUUAGUUACCAGACUUGAACCAAAAACCAUUUUGUGUAAAAAGAAAAGAAAUGAAAAAAAAAAUCCAAGAAUAAUCUUGCAUUCAAAUUAUCAUUCUAGAUGAGGCUGCUUUGGUUGGAUAUGCGGAUGAACUUUGGGCUGCCUAUAUUUGUCUACAAAUAUGGGAGUUGGAGAGAUGGCUCAGUGGUAAAAAGAACUUGCUCUUGAACAAGACCUGAGUUCCAUUCCCAGCACCCACAGAGCACCUGACAACCAUCCAUAACUGCAGUUCUAGGGGGUUAAACACACUCUCCUAACCUCCCAGAGCACCAGGCAGCCUGUCCUGCACAGACAUGCACGUGGGCAAAAUGCUCAUAGACACAAACUAAAUUAAAUAAAUCUCUAAAAGAAGGUUUUUAUUAAAAAUAUAUAUAUUGUGCGUGAUUUUUAGAGACAGGUUCAGGCUUUUGCAAUGUCCCCCAAAUGGACUGUGAGCUCCCUUCCCCUGCAUCUAAGAAGCAUUUAUGGUCCAGAAUAUAAAUAGGCUAUGAAUACAAAUAGAGCGUUUUCUUCCCUUUCUGUAUUUCCGCUUAUGGUCAACAGGUGGCAGCAUAGACAUCAGCCUUCAACUCCGCCCCCCCCGCCUACCCCGCCCCCACUUUUUCUGACCUCAAAUAAAUUUGACCAGUAAAAUGCAA